Molecule: long non-coding RNA, 1284 nt
Organism: Hypanus sabinus (Atlantic stingray)
Lineage: Eukaryota; Metazoa; Chordata; Chondrichthyes; Myliobatiformes; Dasyatidae
Exons: 2
Source: RefSeq, a predicted model, not a curated record
AGACAUCCAUGGAACAAGAGACCCCAUAGAAUGAAUGAUAGAACAUCAAAACCCCAAAACCAAUCAAUUGGUGCAAUAGGUAAUAAGAUAUCGGAUGGCAGAGGGGAAGAAGCUGUUCCUGAGUCAUUGAGUGUGUGCCUUCACGCUUAUGUACAUCCUUCCUGAUGGUACCAAUGAGAAGAAAGCAUGGGUGAUGGCGGUCCUUACUGAUGGAUGCUGUCUUUUUGAGGUAUUGCUCCUUGAAGAUAUCCUUGAUAUGACGGAGGCUAGUGUCCAUAAUGGAGAUCACUGUUUACAACUCAACUCUCUGCAGCUUACUUUGAUCCUGUGCAGACAGCUGAGCCCAAAUUAUCAUCUAAUGGGCACACUUCCAGCAAUAAGGUAAAGUGUUGUCAAUUGGGAUGCUCCAUUGCAGAUACAGCUGGGACUAGCUAAGCACAAAACAGAAACUCAAUGAGGGACCUUCAAGUUGUAUACAAUGUUUAUCUACCAAAUGAAUCAUCAAAGGAAUGCAGACCGAUGUCAACAAUGAGUAUAAAUGUUUCAGGCAGCAUCUAUGGAAAGGAAUAAAGAAACAGGGUCUUGGCCCAAAACAUUGGCUCUCUAUGCCUCUCCAUAGAUGCUGCCUGAUCUGCUGAGUUCCUCUAGCAUUUUAUAUGUGUUACUCUGGUUUUCUAACUUGUGCAGAACCCCUUGUUUUGAAGAACUUCACAUUGUUUUGAAGAACUUUGCAAAAGAAUUACGAAAUUGUGCUUCUGAAUUAAUAUUUAAGGAUUUUUGAAACAAAUGCUAGAAAUCUGCAAAAAUAAAACAGGAAAUACUCAGCACAUUAGACAGGGAAGUGCUAUAGUUCUGAAUAGAGUACCAUAGGAUCAAGAAAUUAUGGAUACUUGAUACUUGAUACUUCACACAGAUCAGUAUAUUCCUUGCAGAUGAACAAUGUGUGAAAGUAUUAGAAUCUUUUCCUGUUUGUGAACAUAUCAGCCCUAUUUGGGAUGGCUCGGUAGUCUUUGAGUAUAUUUGCGGCAUUCGAGGUUUUGUCGUUGGAUUGUGACGUAUUUAUUUAGACAGGCACAGACAAAGCAUUUCUGAUAUGCAGCAUGUUUUGCUUCAGGAGACUCCAGAGAACUGCAACUAGACUUAACUGGAUUGGAAUUCUAUGUGCUAUGUGUGACUAUACUGUAUGUACUAUGUUUUGCACCUUGCUCCCAGAGGAAUGGUGUUUCGUUUGGCUGUAUACAUGUGUACGGUUGAAUGACAAUAAAACUUUAACUUGAACUUGAA